This is a long non-coding RNA of Micropterus salmoides (largemouth bass), 519 nucleotides long. RefSeq lists it as uncharacterized. The transcript is spliced from 2 exons. Lineage: Eukaryota; Metazoa; Chordata; Actinopteri; Centrarchiformes; Centrarchidae. The record is from RefSeq and is a predicted model, not a curated record.
UCUUGCUGUUUCAGAGUUUUCAUGGCUUAGACUGGUUUUACAGUCAGUCACAAGAACUCCACACUCUGGGGAUCCGGGUGGACGACACAGGCUGUGCCACAGGCUCUGUGGGCCGCCUGAGAAAGGAAAUUAAUUCCUCUUUGAGAGAAAAUUACUUUAACAGAUAGCAUGGCGGAGGCAGGCUGUAACUUUGCCGCUGUCACCCCCCCAGUCCCUCCAAAGCAUCCGAAGGCAGCAGAGGCAGUGCAGCAGAGGAAAAGGCGCCUUAGCUCGAUUACAUGAGGAGAACAGCGGCCUUCCCGGGGAGUGACAGCAUGAAAGCAUAAAGGAAAAUGUUGACAGCUUUGAAUGCAUAUGUUAUUUUUUAACUCACUUCACGUAGCCUGAGAUGGACAAAACCAUUUGUGUAAUUACUGAAAUUUGCAUGGACUAUUUCCAAUUUGCAUAAAAGUGAAAAAUAAGUAGUUAAAAUGUAGUUUUUCUUCUCUAAAUUAAAGCUUACUAUUACAUACAGUUAAA